This 189-nucleotide ribosomal RNA is filed under the name uncultured bacterium. RNAcentral describes it as "partial 16S ribosomal RNA". It matches the Rfam family "Bacterial small subunit ribosomal RNA", at positions 338 to 524 of the family's 1533-position model. The record is from RNAcentral.
CCUACGGGAGGUAGCAGUGAGGAAUAUUGGACAAUGGAUGGAAAUCUGAUCCAGCCAUGCCGCGUGCAGGAAGACGGCCCUAUGGGUUGUAAACUGCUUUUAUAUGGGAGCAAUAAGGUCUACGCGUAGACCGAUGAGAGUACCAUAUGAAUAAGCAUCGGCUAACUCCGUGCCAGCAGCCGCGGUAAU